Transfer RNA from Felis catus (domestic cat), 85 nucleotides. It matches the Rfam family "tRNA". Rfam says of the family: Transfer RNA (tRNA) molecules are approximately 80 nucleotides in length. Their secondary structure includes four short double-helical elements and three loops (D, anti-codon, and T loops). Further hydrogen bonds mediate the characteristic L-shaped molecular structure. tRNAs have two regions of fundamental functional importance: the anti-codon, which is responsible for specific mRNA codon recognition, and the 3' end, to which the tRNAs corresponding amino acid is attached (by aminoacyl-tRNA synthetases). tRNAs cope with the degeneracy of the genetic code in two manners: having more than one tRNA (with a specific anti-codon) for a particular amino acid; and 'wobble' base-pairing, i.e. permitting non-standard base-pairing at the 3rd anti-codon position. NCBI's taxonomy places the organism in Eukaryota, Metazoa, Chordata, Mammalia, Carnivora, Felidae. The record is from Rfam.
GCCUGGGUGGCUCAGUUGGCUUAGCAUCUGACUUCGGCUCAGGUCAUGAUCUCACGGUUCGUGGGUUCGAGCCCCGCGUCGGGCU